This 856-nucleotide long non-coding RNA is filed under the name Cricetulus griseus (Chinese hamster). Its description in RNAcentral is "lncRNA (ENSCGRG00015043382.1)". Lineage: Eukaryota; Metazoa; Chordata; Mammalia; Rodentia; Cricetidae. The record is from RNAcentral.
GCCCGCCACUCGGCUGCACACCCUCUGGAGCAGCCCCGCCACGAGACUCUUCUGACAGCGGCGCGGCCCGCGCGGCUCCGGAGCGCAGGAACGGGCGGACGGCGGCGGCUCGGGAGGACGCGAGCGCUGCGGCCGGGAGCCAAGUGCGGGGGUCGGCGGCGCGCAGAGAUCCUCUCUGAAGUAGCUGGGACCUCAAGUCUCCCCAUCCCUGAGGAUUAGGCUGGGCAGAAGAGGAAAAGAGAAUGGCUUGGGGCUUACCCAGUGCUGAACAGUGAGACACAGCUUCUUGGACCUGGAACUCCGAAUGGGAGGUUAUACUGCUGGAGUGACUCAAGAAGAAUUGAUGCUCUGGCCCCCAGACAUGUACACGGUGUGAUGACAGAGGGAAAACAGAAGAUGCUGAGGAGAGGGUAGGACCGCGUGGGGAUCCAGUCAAAGAGGUAGAGGAAACACAAACUGCUCUCAAGCAACUUCAGGAAAUGAACGGAUUUGCAGAAAACCUUGUGGCCUGAAAUUGAAGCCUAAGGAGUCGGUGCUUCCUCUGGAUUCUCAGUCUCUGUUGGAGGCCUUGCUAAGCAGCCUUGAGAGUGGGAGCUUGUCCUUGUACAGUGCUGACCCAUCUUCACAGAGGAGAACAAGAGAAGAGCUAGGAGCUGGCAGAGGAGCCAGGGAGCAGCAGAUCCUGGUGCUCCGUACCCAAGGCCAUCCCCAAGGGAGGGUUACCCACGACCACAGGGAUUCAUUGCUCCUCUCCCCAACUCCAGUGAGGGACCUAGCAAAUAGCCCAAUGAAGGCCUUUCUCUCUGGCACCAUGGGUCAUGUCAAUCAAGUGUGUGAGAAAAAUAAUAAGUCUCCA